ACCAGGUUUCGGUAGGUGAACCUGCGGAAGAAUCAUUAAAAGUAUAUAGUUAUACAUUCUCUGUAUCGACUAAAUAUACCCAUUCUGSGUACCUUGCCUGUUGCUUCCAUGGAGCCUGACACAUGUCACUCUGGGGAUUUACAUCCCGAGGGAGCCUCCGUGGAAGGUAAUCAAUUAACUCUUGAAUCCAAUGUCAUCUGUCUGAUAAUGUUUAAAACAAAUGUUAAAACUUUCAACAACGGAUCUCUUGGUUCUCGCAUCGAUGAAGAACGCAGCGAAAUGCGAUAAGUAGUGUGAAUUGCAGAAUUCAGUGAAUCAUCGAAUCUUUGAACGCACAUUGCGCCUCCUGGUAUUCCGGGAGGCAUGCCUGUUCGAGCGUCAUUAAAUACCACUCAAGCUCUUCUGCUUGGUCAUGGAAGAAGAGUAUGCUUGCAUCCUCUCUUCUGAAAUUGAAUGGCGGACCGCCUCAUGUGCCUCGCGUAGUAAGUUCAUCUUUUCGCUGGCAGCGUGAGACAGUCUCGCCAUCAACCCCCAUACUUCUAAGGUUGACCUCGGAUCAGGUAGGGAUACCCGCUGAACUUAAGCA
This 586-nucleotide ribosomal RNA is filed under the name uncultured Wilcoxina. Its description in RNAcentral is "eukaryotic LSU rRNA". The stretch from base 228 to 381 matches the Rfam family "5.8S ribosomal RNA". The record is from RNAcentral. Lineage: Eukaryota; Fungi; Ascomycota; Pezizomycetes; Pezizales; Pyronemataceae.